AGCGAACGUUAGCGGCGGGCCUAACACAUGCAAGUCGAACGCGAAAGGUCUUCGGACUGAGUAGAGUGGCGCACGGGUGAGUAACACGUAGGUAAUCUACCCUUUGGCGGGGGAUAACGUUCCGAAAGGAGCGCUAAUACCGCAUAAGACCACGGAGUCUCCGGACGCUGUGGGAAAAGGUGGCCUCUUCUUGAAAGCUACCACCGAAGGAUGAGCCUGCGUCCCAUCAGCUAGUUGGUAAGGUAAUGGCUUACCAAGGCGAAGACGGGUAGCUGGUUUGAGAGAAUGAUCAGCCACACUGGCACUGGAACACGGGCCAGACUCCUACGGGAGGCAGCAGUGAGGAAUAUUGGGCAAUGGGCGAAAGCCUGACCCAGCCACGCCGCGUGAGNGAUGAAGGCCCGUCGGGUCGUAAGCUCUGUGGAGAGGGACGAAA
RNAcentral lists this ribosomal RNA (436 nucleotides) under uncultured bacterium. RNAcentral describes it as "bacterial SSU rRNA". It matches the Rfam family "Bacterial small subunit ribosomal RNA", at positions 29 to 450 of the family's 1533-position model. The record is from RNAcentral.